GCGAGUCAUUGUAGCAAUACAAGGCAUACGGCUCAGUAACGCGUAGUCAACCUAACCUAUGGACGGGAAUAACCUCGGGAAACUGAGAAUAAUGCCCGAUAGAACAUUAUACCUGGAAUGGUUUAUGUUCCAAAUGAUUUAUCGCCGUAGGAUGGGACUGCGGCCUAUCAGUUUGUUGGUGAGGUAAUGGCCCACCAAGACUAUUACAGGUACGGGCUCUGAGAGGAGUAGCCCGGAGAUGGGUACUGAGACACGGACCCAGGCCCUAUGGGGCGCAGCAGGCGAGAAAACUUUGCAAUGUGCGAAAGCACGACAAGGUUAAUCCGAGUGAUUUCUGCUAAAGAAAUCUUUUGUUAGUCCUAGAAACACUAACGAAUAAGGGGUGGGCAAGUUCUGGUGUCAGCCGCCGCGGUAAAACCAGCACCUCAAGUGGUCAGGAUGAUUAUUGGGCCUAAAGCAUCCGUAGCCGGCUCUGUAAGUUUUCGGUUAAAUCUGUACGCUCAACGUACAGGCUGCCGGGAAUACUGCAUAGCUAGGGAGUGGGAGAAGUAGACGGUACUCGGUAGGAAGUGGUAAAAUGCUUUGAUCUAUCGAUGACCACCUGUGGCGAAGGCGGUCUACUAGAACACGUCCGACGGUGAGGGAUGAAAGCUGGGGGAGCAAACCGGAUUAGAUACCCGGGUAGUCCCAGCUGUAAACUAUGCAAACUCAGUGAUGCAUUGGCUUGUGGCCAAUGCAGUGCUGCAGGGAAGCCGUUAAGUUUGCCGCCUGGGAAGUACGUACGCAAGUAUGAAACUUAAAGGAAUUGGCGGGGGAGCACCAC
RNAcentral lists this ribosomal RNA (823 nucleotides) under uncultured archaeon. RNAcentral's name for it is "bacterial SSU rRNA". It matches the Rfam family "Archaeal small subunit ribosomal RNA", at positions 53 to 882 of the family's 1478-position model. The record is from RNAcentral.